This 671-nucleotide non-coding RNA is filed under the name Talaromyces marneffei ATCC 18224. RNAcentral's name for it is "Penicillium marneffei ATCC 18224 Bacterial small subunit ribosomal RNA". It matches the Rfam family "Bacterial small subunit ribosomal RNA", at positions 838 to 1533 of the family's 1533-position model. Lineage: Eukaryota; Fungi; Ascomycota; Eurotiomycetes; Eurotiales; Trichocomaceae. The record is from Rfam by way of RNAcentral.
AUUUAGUCUAUAAAUGAAAGUGUAAGCAUUCCACCUCAAGAGUACUAUGGCAACAUAUAAACUGAAAUCAUUAGACCGUUUCUGAAACCAGUAGUGAAGUAUGUUAUUUAAUUCGAUAAUCCGCGAAUAACCUUACCACAAUUUGAAUAUAUUAAGUUAUUACAAGCGCUGCACGGCUGUCUUUAGUUAAUGUCGUGAGAUCUGGUUAACUCCUAAAAUUAACGAAAACCCUCAUUUUAUUUGUAUAUAUAAAGUGGUUCUCCAGUAUAGUGGAAAGAUAAAAGGGAUUAAGACAAGUCAUCAUGGCCUAAAUAUUGUGGGCUAUAGACGUGCCACAUAUGCCUCUACAAAGGGAUGCUAUAUUGCGAAAUGGAGCUAAUCCCCAAAAUUGGAUAUAAUAUGGAUUGUUGUCUGUAAUUCGACAGCAUGAAUAAGGAAUUACUAGUAAUCGUGAAUCACCAUCGUCACGGUGAAUCUAAUCUCAGCUAGGUACUAACCACUCGUCAGGCGCUGAAAGGAGUAUGUGCAAUAAGUUUGGUUUGUUUAUAUAUUAAUAUACAUGAUUCUUGAUGUAUAAAUAUGUAGAUUUAAUUUUCGUAUGCAUGACUUUAAUUGGUGUUAAGUCGAAAUAUGGUUCGUGUAAUGGAAAUUGCACGGGAUUAAUAAAUUUG